RNAcentral lists this ribosomal RNA (433 nucleotides) under uncultured bacterium. RNAcentral's name for it is "partial 16S ribosomal RNA". It matches the Rfam family "Bacterial small subunit ribosomal RNA", at positions 29 to 507 of the family's 1533-position model. The record is from RNAcentral.
AGCGAACGCUGGCGGCAGGCUUAACACAUGCAAGUCGAGCGGGCACUUCGGUGUCAGCGGCAGACGGGUGAGUAACACGUGGGAACGUACCCUUUGGUUCGGAAUAACGCUGGGAAACUAGCGCUAAUACCGGAUACGCCCUUUUGGGGAAAGGCUUGCUGCCGAAGGAUCGGCCCGCGUCUGAUUAGCUAGUUGGUGGGGUAAUGGCCUACCAAGGCGACGAUCAGUAGCUGGUCUGAGAGGAUGAUCAGCCACACUGGGACUGAGACACGGCCCAGACUCCUACGGGAGGCAGCAGUGGGGAAUAUUGGGCAAUGGGCGCAAGCCUGAUCCAGCCAUGCCGCGUGAGUGAUGAAGGCCUUAGGGUUGUAAAGCUCUUUUGUCCGGGACGAUAAUGACGGUACCGGAAGAAUAAGCCCCGGCUAACUUCGUG